Molecule: ribosomal RNA, 385 nt
Filed under: uncultured Anaerolineaceae bacterium
Lineage: Bacteria; Bacillati; Chloroflexota; Anaerolineae; Anaerolineales; Anaerolineaceae
Description: bacterial SSU rRNA
Rfam family: Bacterial small subunit ribosomal RNA
Source: RNAcentral
UUGACAUACAAGUAGUAGGGAAGGAAACUGGACCGACCCUUCGGGAGCUUGUACAGGUGCUGCAUGGCUGUCGUCAGCUCGUGUCGUGAGAUGUUCGGUUAAGUCCGCUAACGAGCGCAACCCUCGCUGUGUGUUAUAUGUGUCACACAGGACUGCUGGUAUUAAGCCGGAGGAAGUGGGACGACGUCAAGUCAGCAUGACCUUUAUAUCCAGGGCUACACACACGCUACAAUGGUCAGUACAAUGGGUUGCCAAGCCGCGAGGCGGAGCCAAUCCUAAAAAGCUGGCCUCAGUUCAGAUUGCAGUCUGAAACUCGACUGCAUGAAGUCGGAGUUGCUAGUAAACGCAGGUCAGCUAUACUGCGUUGAAUACGUUCCCGGGGCUU